UUACACCCUUAUAGUAUGUUGAUAUGAAUAGAUCUGCUCGUCGUUUUAACCUGGUUGGAUAUUGAAACCGGAGGGACUUCCACUUGACAUUUAGGGCAACAUAACUUUUGCCAAAAACUGGAUGAUUGAUCUUGCAAGUCUGACGGCUUUUCAAGGAUUAAUGUACGUAUGUAACUGGAGACAGAUGGACAGUCAAAAGUAUCGGAGCAACCAGGACAUGACAAACGUAACGCCUCACAACCACGGUACCUAAAAUCCAUAUUAAAAGCACAAUUACAGUUAUGCAUCAGUUAAAACUGUAAGAAAGCACCAACAAGAGCAGAAGUGAAAAAGAGUAAAUUAGUGAUUACCUCUCUUCAUCAUCUGUGACAGAGAUAACUGAGCUGGAAU
RNAcentral lists this long non-coding RNA (390 nucleotides) under Helianthus annuus (common sunflower). Its description in RNAcentral is "sRNA HanXRQr2_Chr14g0651301". Lineage: Eukaryota; Viridiplantae; Streptophyta; Magnoliopsida; Asterales; Asteraceae. The record is from RNAcentral.